UGGGGAAUAUUGGACAAUGGGCGCAAGCCUGAUCCAGCGAUGCCGCGUGUGUGAAGAAGGCCUGCGGGUUGUAAAGCACUUUUUGGCAGGGAUGAAAAGCACUGGAUUAAUAACCCAGUGUGUUGACCUAACCUGCAGAAGAAGCACCGGCUAACUCUGUGCCAGCAGCCGCGGUAAUACAGGGGGUGCGAGCGUUAAUCGGAAUUACUGGGCGUAAAGGGCGCGUAGGCGGUCGAGUAAGUCGGAUGUGAAAUCCCCGGGCUUAACCUGGGAAUUGCAUUCGAUACUGCUUGGCUAGAGUGUGGAAGAGGGAAGCGGAAUUUCCGGUGUAGCUGUGAAAUGCGUAGAUAUCGGAAGGAACACCAGUGGCGAAGGCGGCUUCCUGGUCCAACACUGACGCUGAGGCGCGAAAGCGUGGGGAGCAAACAGGAUUAGAUACCCCCGUAGUCCCUGAGCGGGCUGGCAAGGCGCAU
Molecule: ribosomal RNA, 473 nt
Filed under: uncultured bacterium
Lineage: Bacteria
Description: bacterial SSU rRNA
Rfam family: Bacterial small subunit ribosomal RNA
Source: RNAcentral